RNAcentral lists this ribosomal RNA (1325 nucleotides) under Parascaris univalens. RNAcentral describes it as "SSU rRNA". It matches the Rfam family "Eukaryotic small subunit ribosomal RNA", at positions 669 to 1823 of the family's 1831-position model. Lineage: Eukaryota; Metazoa; Nematoda; Chromadorea; Rhabditida; Ascarididae. The record is from RNAcentral.
AUAUUUGCUAUUACCACCAAGAUCUGUACCAGUGGAAGCAACUAUGGUAGGCACAUGAACUACCAACGACAGUUGAAAAGGCAGACACUUGAUAGACACGCCACCGGUUCAAGACCUUGCGAUCAGCUACAGUUAUUCGGAGUCACCAAUCAACGGGCCGAAACCCGAUUGAUUUUAAUCUAAUAGAUGCGGUCGUUAGAAAAUCGGAGCUUUGGUGCUUGUAUUAGCUCUAGAAUUACCACAUUUAUACGCGUAGGAUAUCGAGAUCAAGUAUAUAAUAGCUGUUGUAAUGAGCCGUUCGCGGUUCCAUCUUUAUAGGCCAUUUGAACUAAGACAUGCAUGGCUUAGCCUUUGAGAUAAGCACAUUUUGUUGGCUUUCUGAUCUGAGAUAAUGGUUAAGAGGGACGGACGGGACAUUCGUAUCGCUGCGUGAGAGGUGAAAUUCUUGGACUGAGCGAGACGUCCGACUGCGAAAGCGUUUGCCAAGAAUGUCUUCAGUAAUGAAGAACGAAAGUCAGAGGUUCGAAGGCGAUCAGAUACCGCCCUAGUUCUGAUCGUAAACGAUACCAAUUAGCGUUCCGUCAGCGAUAAAUAUGCCUUGACGGGCAGCUUCCCGGAAACGAAAGUCUUUCGGUUCCGGGGGAAGUAUGGUUGCAAAGCUGAAAAUUACAGAAAUUGAUAGAAGGGCACCACCAGGAGUGGAGCCUGCCGCUUAAUUUGACUCAACACGGGAAAACUCACCUGGCCCGGACACCGUAAGGAUUGACAGAUUGAGAGCUCUUUCUUGAUUCGGUGGUUGGUGGUGCAUGGCCGUUGUUAGUUGGCGGAGUGAUUUGUCUGGUUUACUCCGACAACGAGCGAGAUUCCAGCCUAUUAAAUAGUUAUCGGAUAAACAAGUCCGGAAGACUUCUUAGAGGGACAAGCGGUAUUCAGCUGCGUGAAGUUGAGCAAUAACAGGUCUGUGAUUCCUUUAGAUGUCCAGGGCUGCACGCGCGCUACACUGGAGGAAUCAGCGUGCUGUAACCAUUGCCGAAAGGUAUUGGUAACCCCUUGAAAAUCUUCCGUGGUCGGGAUCGGGAAUUGCAAUUAUUUCCCUUGAACGAGGAAUUCCUAAUAAGUGUGAGUAAUCAGCUCACGUUGAUUUCGUCCCUGCCCUUUGUACACACCGCCCGUCGCUGCCCGGGACUGAGCCGUUUCGAGAAAAGCGGGGACUGCUGUUUCGAGACCUUUCGAGGUGGAGAUUCUUUCGUGGAAACCGCCUUAAUCGCAGUGACUUGAACCGGGCAAAAGUCGUAACAAGGUUUCCGUAGAUGAACUUGCGGAAG